Molecule: ribosomal RNA, 497 nt
Filed under: uncultured bacterium
Lineage: Bacteria
Description: partial 16S ribosomal RNA
Rfam family: Bacterial small subunit ribosomal RNA
Source: RNAcentral
GACGAACGCUGGCGGCGUGCCUAAUACAUGCAAGUUGAGCGCUGAAGGUUGGUACUUGUACCAACUGGAUGAGCAGCGAACGGGUGAGUAACGCGUGGGGAAUCUGCCUUUGAGCGGGGGACAACAUUUGGAAACGAAUGCUAAUACCGCAUAAAAACUUUAAACACAAGUUUUAAGUUUGAAAGAUGCAAUUGCAUCACUCAAAGAUGAUCCCGCGUUGUAUUAGCUAGUUGGUGAGGUAAAGGCUCACCAAGGCGAUGAUACAUAGCCGACCUGAGAGGGUGAUCGGCCACAGUGGGACUGAGACACGGCCCAAACUCCUACGGGAGGCAGCAGUAGGGAAUCUUCGGCAAUGGACGAAAGUCUGAACGAGCAACGCCGCGUGAGUGAAGAAGGUUUUCGGAUCGUAAAACUCUGUUGGUAGAGAAGAACGUUGGUGAGAGUGGAAAGCUCAUCAAGUGACGGUAACUACACAGAAAGGGACGGCUAACUACGUG